GGGUGCAAACGUUGUUCGGAAUUACUGGGCGGAAAGCGUGUGUAGGCGGCUAUGCAAGUCGGAUGUGAAAGCCCGGGGCUCAACUCCGGAACUGCCUUUGAGACUGGGAGGCUUGAACGUCGGAGAGGUGAGUGGAAUUCCGAGUGUAGAGGUGAAAUUCGUAGAUAUUCGGAAGAACACCAGUGGCGAAGGCGGCUCACUGGACGACUGUUGACGCUGAGGUGCGAAAGCGUGGGGAGCAAACAGG
This 247-nucleotide ribosomal RNA is filed under the name uncultured bacterium. RNAcentral's name for it is "partial 16S ribosomal RNA". It matches the Rfam family "Bacterial small subunit ribosomal RNA", at positions 530 to 776 of the family's 1533-position model. The record is from RNAcentral.